AAUCUCUCUCUCUCUCUCUCUCUCUCUAGUUAGUAAAGAACAGGCAACGUUUGCCAUGGAAGACUCUACAGUAUACAUAAGACUACAGUGUACAUCCCAACCCUCUACGGCCGUUGCUGCUCCACCCGGGCAUUACCACAUCCACCCGGGUCUACAAGAAACCUCCAGGGCCGAGCUUCAACCACAGAACACCUCGUCACCGUUGAGGAGGUUCCACGCCCCGGACCACAGCCAUGUUAGCCUCGAUAAUAAAACUUGGCGCACUUAUUCUGAGACGUCCUCGUGAGUGAGUGCCCUAAUUGCCUUCAUGGAUAAUGUCACAGGUAUCCGAUGGUUCAGGUGUGAUCUCAGAUAUUUUUGUUAUUGUGUCGUAAAUAUCCAGUGAUUAUUUCCAUUUCCGAGUCGCUGAAUGUUCAUCGCACACAGUUUGUCUUUGAGUAGAAACACUGAUUAAUAUCCAUGAUCGGUUAGGUUACGAACUCCCUCGAUUUCAGGCUGGAGAGCUACACAACACUGGUCAUCCGCUGAGUGGUUGAAUUCCUGGUCUACCGGCCCCUGGAGGAGUGGUCGAUUGCCUGGUCUACCGUGGAUAUGAGUGGUUGAUUCCCUGGUCUACCCCUGGAUGACGCAGCUGUUCCUAUGCAGGGGAGGACUCACACAAGCGAUAAGCACCUGUUGGACCUGGAGACUCCCCCCUGAGCCUGACGGUGGAGCUGUGGGCCCUGCACCAGACCCCCACACACACCCCCACACCACCCAUAGCAGGGGCAGGGCGUUGAGACUCCCCCCACAGGCUAAGACAGGGAGGGACUUGAAGAUCCAGGUUUUUGUCAUCUGCACAGGAAUUGACACUAUAGACAAUAAUUGACAAUAUAGUUUCCUUUUUUGUGUGUGCCCUUGAGCUGUCUCCUUUGUUGUAGAAAAAAAUACUUGACAAGGCUUUCAUAGGUGUUUGGGGCAUUUCCAGGGGUAGUUUAAUGACCCUGGUGGUAGUCUGACCCUUCCUCUGUGCAAUGAACUUGAAAAAAACGCUCAUAAAAAUGCAGAUAUUAACCCAGUAGCAGCGGGGAUCAUGUUUCUUAAUGGUCCCUCCAAGCGAGAAAAAUGAGAAAAAAAAUCACCUCUCACACAAACCAUUUCAUAUAUCUCAAAGCAUUUGCGAUUAGAUUAUGUAUCAUCUAUUUUUGGGGGUUUAUAUCAUGGCACAAAUUUGGCCUGUCGCUGCUACAUGGUAAAGCCACAAAUUUGGCCCAUCACUGCUACCGGGUUAACCUCAUUAUCGUGUUAAAAUCCCUGUAUCUUACUGUUAUCUUCCUCUCCCUCUAUAUUAUUUAUCAAUCUCUCUCUUUCUCUCUCUCCCACAGAUGUCUAAGGUUUCGCCCAUGCAGCUGAAGGGUGCCAAUGCCUACACAUGCGUCGACCACAGGUGCGCGCUGGACAUUGCCUACAAUUCAUGGUUCAAAUGACCUGCUGUGUGUUCUGCUGGAGAAAAACACUGCAUGACUGUUGUUGGGAGGAGACACAGCAUGAAGGCUUCCAGGAGCUGCAAGACAUCCUUGUGGUCAUGGUGCCCGGUCAUUAUGAUGGAGCGUCGGCAGAGAUCGAGCUGGCGGAAGGUUGGCGGCCGGGUCAAGCUCACCACCGACAAGGAUUUCCGUGACGUGCGCUCGGCCAAUGUUGUUGACCUCGGCUAUGACAAUCUUACUAAGAUGGUGGAGAUGGGGAACGGCAUCUACAUUGACGACGGACUCAACGAGAUCGCUGAGACUACUACUACUACUAUUACUAUUACUAUCCUCUAUACUGAUAUGUGUACUAUUAAAUCCUCUAUACUGCUACUAUGUGUACUAUUGAGUCCCUUAUAUAGUACUUCCAUGACAGCUGAUGAGUGAUACUACUACUACUACUGUUACUAUGACCACUCAAUCCCUGGUAAGUACAAUGUCAUUAUUAUCAUUAUUUAGGUUAAGGUCCAUUUAAUUCAAUCUUCCUGAGCGGUUGGACGCUUUAUGGCUCUCCUCCAUUCUACUGUCUUCCGCCCAAUGCUUAUACAGUCCUAUCAAUCCCAAAUCUUCCUGUACACACCUUCUCCACGUUUU
Eriocheir sinensis (Chinese mitten crab) is the source of this 2099-nucleotide long non-coding RNA. RefSeq lists it as uncharacterized. Lineage: Eukaryota; Metazoa; Arthropoda; Malacostraca; Decapoda; Varunidae. The transcript has 4 exons. The record is from RefSeq and is a predicted model, not a curated record.